CGGGCCGGGCCGGGGCGGGGUCUCGGGCAGGGGCGGGGAGCUUACCGACCUCCCGCCCCCGCUGCGCGCGUUUCUGGCCCUGCCAGUGUCUCCGCCGGUUGAAAGCGCGUGUCUGCGUCGGGUUCUGUUGGAGUGCGUUCGGUGCGCCGUGGGUCCGCGCUGCUUCCACCCAACUUCCUGUUAGUUUCUCUCCUGUCACAAUGGCAUGAUCUCGGCUCACUGCGACCUCUGCUUCCUGGGUUCAAGGAUUCUCCUGCCUCAGCCUCCCAAGUAGCUGGGAUUACAGUUUCCAUCAUUAUCUUCUAUGGAGUUCUUCAUUCCCACAUCUGUGGACCUUAAAAUCCUACCGUUGAGUGCCUGCCUUGGAUCAGCAGUCAGUUCGUUACCUUGGUUCUCAGACGAUGCUUGCAACAACGCCAUGCGAUUCGCCCACUCUUGGGUUACAUUAGUUAUACACUCUGGAGGUGACUUGACCUGUCAUUGUGAACAAUUAUUGCUCUUGGACGACCCAGGACAUAGGCCAGCCAGUACGUACCCCAGUGUGUUGGAGAAUCGCGCUCGGCUUCUUCCUCUGUGCUGAGUCAUGAAAGUUGCCGGAGCAGGUGCAGUUACACAACCUCCAGACAUCUAGGCUUGCUGUCAAGGCUUCUGAUCAACAUGAGAUGACCGCCGUGUGGUAAACUGAUGAACCCUGACCCUGAUCAACAUGAGAUGACCGCCGUGUGGUAAACUGAUGAACCCCGACCCUGAUGAACGUGAGAUGACCGCCGUGUGGUAAACUGAUGAACCCCGACCCUGAUGAACGUGAGAUGACCGCCGUGUGGUAAACUGAUGAACCCCGACCCUGAUGAACGUGAGAUGACCGCCGUGUGGUAAACUGAUGAACCCCGACCCUGAUGAACGUGAGAUGACCGCCGUGUGGUAAACUGAUGAACCCCGACCCUGAUCAACGUGAGAUGACCGCCGUGUGGUAAACUGAUGAACCCCGACCCUGAUGAACAUGAGAUGACCGCCGUGUGGUAAACUGAUGAACCCCGACCCUGAUCAACAUGAGAUGACCGCCGUGUGGUAAACUGAUGAACCCCGACCCUGAUCAACAUGAGAUGACUGCCGUGUGGUAAACUGAUGAACCCUGACCCAUUAGGCUUUGGCUACAGAAUGUGGAAAUAAGUUGUGUUACUACAUGUGUGUAAUCCUAGGGUGCAGGACACCGGCCGGGAGGUUCCAUAGAGUGAUGGGUUCUGCAGGUAACUCAUCCUCUAGUCCUCUGUAAGCUCCUAGAAGGAAGAAAUUAUGUCCUUUAGACUAAUAAAAUUCCUCCAAACCAAAUACAGCACCUACUGUGAAGACACAAAGAUACUUUUAGAAUAGUAAAAACUUUAUCCAUUGAGAAAUUCCUUAAUGAAACAGUAUCCAAGAAGUCAUUUGCCAGCAGAUUUCUUAGAGGUGCGAUAAAGAAGAGGACAUUGCCAGUCGUCACAGCAGCUGCAAUAGCUCCUCUCUAUUGUUAAACAGUGGGAUAUCUUGUGCAGGUUUUCAGUUGACAAUCAAUUUUAAAGAUUAGUUUCGGUCCCCAUCAAUCAAUUAUUUAUUAACCCAUCAAUAAAAAUUUAAAUGCUCUGUGAGGUACAAUAGCUAUUAAAAGAGACAGAGGCACUUUCUGUGUCCAGAGGGGCUUUUAGUCUGCUCUGGAAAGCAAGAUGCGUGCAGAUGAGUGACGCAGUGCAUCGUGUGGAUGCAAAGGGAGGGACUCACAUGGGAACCAGAGGAGCUACGAAGGGAGGCAGUGGGGACUGGUGGGUCGAGACCUGGAAAUAACACAUGAAUAGGCAACAAAGGUUUCCUUUCCUCUUCCAUGCACUUCAGUCCUUGAAAAACGUCUUACCACGGAAUUCCACAGCGUACCAAGCGAUUCCACAGCUUGAUGGCACACUCUCCUUUCUCAGCAUUCUUGAAAAUGGCGUGUGAGCCAAGCCAUCUUACUGAGAAAUUACCUUAAACCAUUUGAUGAACCAAAAAUAUUUUGUAAUACCCAUCUCCGACAUUAGGUAGGCAAAUCACACAGAAACACCGAGGUCUUCUGAGUCAUAUUUAUCUGAAAAAUCACAGCUUGGGUGCAUGUGAAGCCAGAGGAGCACUCCUGGGGCCUGCGGUGCCAUCACUCAGCUCCCCUGGGCUUCACAUGGCCAUGGAGCACCCAGCAAGUGUAGGCUCUGAGCCUUCAGGGAGGGGCGGCAUCAGCCAGCACCAUCGUCUCCUGGGUCUUGUGCCUCUUCCUUGGUUGCGGUGUUGUCAGGGCCAGAAUUGGGCAAUUCCGGGUGACAUCCAGGUGUGGCUGCUGACACGGAGCACAGGUGAGGUUCACUGAGGACACCCUGCUCCUGUGGUUUGCAGCCCCGGCCUUCUCUUCGAGGACGCCUCUGCUCUUCUGCCUCACACUCGGAUUGGACCUUCUUCAGCACAGCCAGUGGCCGAGGCUUCCUCCCUGGGGCUCAGUGGAGCAGGACAGAUGCUGCAUCCAAACUCUUCCAUUGGGUUCCAGUCUGUUCCAGUCAUGCCCUUGAGCCUCUAAAGCUCCUAGGUGAGAGACGUAGCAGCUGACAGCACUUCCCACUUGAUUUGGGUGGACUCCAGCCUCCCCAGCAACAAUAAGAGAUCAAAAGCAUCGUUGAGGAAGCAGCUUGCUGAAACGCUGAGUGCCCGCCACUCUCAGGUCAGGUGGGACCGGCAGGCCAGCAUGAGUUCCUGAACACUUGGUUCUCAAUACUGGCCACAGCCACACUGUAAGGGGAAACAAGAGGGCACUGUAUGCAAACAUCUCUUGAACUCUGGAGUCUGCUCACCUUCCUGCCUCAAGCCCCUCUCCCACGUGGUCCAGUCACCAUUCUCCACAGAGACUACCCUAAAACCCAGCGACUCUCGUGUGCCUGCAGAAUGGCACAGCCCGUUCUCAUAGCAGCACUCCUGUUUAAUCAGAGGGAUGUUAACGACCAAGUCAUAUUUGCUCGAUUUGUGUUCAACAUAUUUCAUUUGUACCGAUAAAACUUAAAAAUAUCCCCACACAUGCAUUGCCUAUUAAAGAGUAUCUUCCAGGUACACCUCCCUUACACAUCAGUUAACUUGAUAAUUUCUUCCCAUUCUUGUGCAAUAAAUUUCCUUCCUGAUCAGCUCUGUCCAGCAGCAACAAUAAUCCACGUAGAGACAUGCAAACUAAAAGUCCGUUAGUGGAGGCACGAAGCUGAUGAGGCUUGGAAAAAAAUGACCGAUUUGAUUAAAAUUAGGACCCAUGGGAGUGGAGCUCUGCCUAUUUUAGAGGCAAAGUAAAUGCCUGGGAGUCCAAUCACCGACAUUCUGUUUGAGGUUUCUAAUCACAAGGAAGAUGGAGAAAAUGCAGAACAAGUGGUCAAGAACAGGGAGAUAAUAAAUAGAAUAUUUAUGGGCUGAGGAAAACAAUUACCAGGGGAAAGCCCAAGAAGCAAAGAUGAACAGAGAACGUGCUGACUGCGCUCGUUUGGAAAGGCCUCAUGGCCAAAGGAGGAGAGGCAUUAUGAGGAGCAGUGACCGAGUGGGCAGGACCCCCGGGGAUCAGGAAAGGUGCACGGGGGGAAAUGAGAGGCCUGAGCGGCUUCCCAGCGAAGGUUUUUGAAGCACGGUUUGAUUUUCUCUCUCCCCCUCACCAUCCCCAAAUUUUAGUUGUGACUAUCUCCAGGUACAUGGCUUGCGACAGGCGGUGUAUAAAAACUAAUGUCAGUUUAAUUUUAAAACCUUAGCCAUUUUCUGGAACUUAAAUAUCAAAGAGAAAAUGUCCACAUAUGAUGUUAAUUGAGGUUUGUCUCACUGGUGAUUUGUGCUGAUUCAAUUCCUGUUUCUUUUUUUUUUUCUUAAGGGGUCAGUUUUAGAAUUGGGAGAUAGGUGUAUAACAUAUGACUAUACAGCGCAGGUUGGUUUUUUAACAUAGAAAUAUCUGCCUUUAAAUGAGAACUGAAAACGGAGCUUCUUGGAGGCCACCUGCUGGUGGCAGUGAUCUGACCGCUGUUUAAGCUUUCUUUGAACUCCUUUUUUUAAAACAGCCUCCAUAAUCAAUGGUGUACGAUCUACUCUCGUGGUAAAACUUACUCAGUGAAGAGUGUGUUUUAUUUUCUGAGGAGCUGAACUGUUCCAACCUGAGUAUUCUGAAUAAGGACAGUGGUCGAGCAUGAGUGAUGCCAUCUGGGCUUAGAAAUAAGUGGGCCUAAAAUCUGAUUGUUUUCAUACAUUGUUCAGAUAUUGACGCAAAUAGCAAUUUAUUUUGUAAAAAAUGAUUGGUAUCCGGAACUUGCAACAGCUGUGUGUGGCUUGAAGGGAGAUGAAGUGGUGAAGGCCUGGUUUCCACCGAAGCUCUCACAGCCCAGCCUUUCACUGUGUGGCCGGGGGAAGGGUGCUCCGGGUGGGGGACGGGAAUGGUGGGACUGGGGAUGCCACGGGACAAGGCUGCUGGCCUGGAAGGUAGUCACGUGGAGAACCGCAGGAGAUGAGAUUGGAAAGUAGUAAUAAGCCAUGUGGAUAAGAACAGAGGAGCGGGUUUUAAGGGGGACGUCCUGAAAUGCUGCUCAUGUCGUUUCAGUUCCAUAGACCACAGGAAAUGCAGGUGAGAGGGCAGCCCGGUGGGAAGGAAGGAAGAGGGUGGUGGUGAGCCAGGUGAGUGUGGAGCCGCCCAGGGCACCGUGCUGUGCGAUAGCUCAGGCAUCGGGUGCUUCUGCCAAACCCUUCAGCAGCUGGUUUGGGGCCAAACGUCCUUCCUGUGUGAGAGAAGGCAGAGCCUAGGCAGCAUUCCAAACCCCAUCCAGAUGGGAGGCUGAGUGCAGAGCAAACGGAGCCCAGCACUCCAGAGCCGUGUCCCUUCACUGCCAUGAUCACAUCACAAACAGCGAGGCUUGGAGAGGACUUAAGAGCUCCUUCAAUGCCAUCUUCCAUCCACUGCGUGAGCCAGAAUAGAAAAAAAGGAAUAAGAAGAGGUCGGUUAAGCUCUCUAUUAAGUUGAGAAAAUGGGAACUUCAGGUGAUCAUGUGAGAUAUUCAAGUUAAAAAAAUUAUUUAAAAAGCACAUUCUUAUUAUUAAAAUUUUAGAAAGUACAGAGAAGGAAAUUUUAAUAACCUACACCUAGAACACUAAGAUACUGGUAACGUAGAAAAAUGUGUAGUUAAUGCCUUGAUGGAUUCUUUUCUAUUUUUUUCUCUAGCAAUAUUUAUGUCUAUCCACAGAAAGCGUACACUCAUGUAUUUGCAUGGCUAAUAUAUUUUAUGUAAAGUUCUAUAUAUUUCUCAACAUUUCACUUAAUAUUUCUUUAUAAACAUUUUUCCAGUGAAUAAAAAUUUUUCCAAACAGUA
RNAcentral lists this long non-coding RNA (5366 nucleotides) under Homo sapiens (human). RNAcentral describes it as "HSALNT0289645". The record is from RNAcentral. Lineage: Eukaryota; Metazoa; Chordata; Mammalia; Primates; Hominidae.